RNAcentral lists this ribosomal RNA (253 nucleotides) under uncultured bacterium. RNAcentral's name for it is "partial 16S ribosomal RNA". It matches the Rfam family "Bacterial small subunit ribosomal RNA", at positions 524 to 776 of the family's 1533-position model. The record is from RNAcentral.
UACGGAGGGUGCAAGCGUUAUCCGGAUUCACUGGGUUUAAAGGGUGCGUAGGCGGGCAGGUAAGUCCGUGGUGAAAUCUCUGAGCUUAACUCAGAAACUGCCAUGGAUACUAUUUGUCUUGAAUAUUGUGGAGGUAAGCGGAAUAUGUCAUGUAGCGGUGAAAUGCUUAGAUAUGUCAUAGAACACCAAUUGCGAAGGCAGCUUACUACACAGUUAUUGACGCUGAGGCACGAAAGCGUGGGGAUCAAACAGG